AACGUAGGACACAAGCGUUAUCCGGAAUUACUGGGCGUAAAGGGCGUGCAGGCGGUUGAGUAAGUUAGGCGUGAAAGACUUCGGCUAAACCGGGGGAGGUCGUCUGAUACUGCUUAACUAGAGUAUGGUAGAGGCGUGUAGAAUUCCGGGUGUAGUGGUGAAAUGCGUAGAGAUCCGGAGGAAUACCAGUGGCGAAGGCGGCACGCUGGGCCAUAACUGACGCUAAGACGCGAAAGCAUGGGUAGCGAACGGG
RNAcentral lists this ribosomal RNA (253 nucleotides) under uncultured bacterium. RNAcentral describes it as "partial 16S ribosomal RNA". It matches the Rfam family "Bacterial small subunit ribosomal RNA", at positions 524 to 776 of the family's 1533-position model. The record is from RNAcentral.